This 856-nucleotide ribosomal RNA is filed under the name Staphylococcus succinus. RNAcentral describes it as "bacterial SSU rRNA". It matches the Rfam family "Bacterial small subunit ribosomal RNA", at positions 61 to 901 of the family's 1533-position model. Lineage: Bacteria; Bacillati; Bacillota; Bacilli; Caryophanales; Staphylococcaceae. The record is from RNAcentral.
GUCGAGCGAACGGAAGGAGCUUGCUCCUUUGAAGUUAGCGGCGGACGGGUGAGUAACACGUGGGUAACCUACCUAUAAGACUGGAAUAACUUCGGGAAACCGGAGCUAAUGCCGGAUAACAUAUAGAACCGCAUGGUUCUAUAGUGAAAGAUGGUUUUGCUAUCACUUAUAGAUGGACCCGCGCCGUAUUAGCUAGUUGGUAAGGUAAUGGCUUACCAAGGCGACGAUACGUAGCCGACCUGAGAGGGUGAUCGGCCACACUGGAACUGAGACACGGUCCAGACUCCUACGGGAGGCAGCAGUAGGGAAUCUUCCGCAAUGGGCGAAAGCCUGACGGAGCAACGCCGCGUGAGUGAUGAAGGUUUUCGGAUCGUAAAACUCUGUUAUUAGGGAAGAACAAAUGCGUAAGUAACUGUGCGCAUCUUGACGGUACCUAAUCAGAAAGCCACGGCUAACUACGUGCCAGCAGCCGCGGUAAUACGUAGGUGGCAAGCGUUAUCCGGAAUUAUUGGGCGUAAAGCGCGCGUAGGCGGUUUCUUAAGUCUGAUGUGAAAGCCCACGGCUCAACCGUGGAGGGUCAUUGGAAACUGGGAAACUUGAGUGCAGAAGAGGAAAGUGGAAUUCCAUGUGUAGCGGUGAAAUGCGCAGAGAUAUGGAGGAACACCAGUGGCGAAGGCGACUUUCUGGUCUGUAACUGACGCUGAUGUGCGAAAGCGUGGGGAUCAAACAGGAUUAGAUACCCUGGUAGUCCACGCCGUAAACGAUGAGUGCUAAGUGUUAGGGGGUUUCCGCCCCUUAGUGCUGCAGCUAACGCAUUAAGCACUCCGCCUGGGGAUACGACCGCAAGGUUGAAACU